AUUGAACGCUGGCGGCAGGCCUAACACAUGCAAGUCGAGCGGAUGAAGGGAGCUUGCUCCUGGAUUCAGCGGCGGACGGGUGAGUAAUGCCUAGGAAUCUGCCUGGUAGUGGGGGAUAACGUCCGGUAACGGGCGCUAAUACCGCAUACGUCCAGAGGGAGAACGUGGGGGAUCUUCGGACCUCACGCUAUCAGAUGACACUGGGCCGGAUUAGCUAGUUGGUGGGGUAAAGGCCUACCAAGGCGACGAUCCGUAACUGCCCUGAGAGGAUGAUCAGUCACACUGGAACUGAGACACGGUCCAGACUCCUACGGGAGGCAGCAGUGGGGAAUAUUGGGCAAUGGGCGAAAGCCUGAUCCAGCCAUGCCGCGUGUGUGAAGAAGGUCUUCGGAUUGUAAAGCACUUUAAGUUGGGAGGAAGGGCAGUGAGUUAAUACCUUGCCGUCUUGACGUUACCAACAGAAUAAGCACCGGCUAACUUCGUG
Molecule: ribosomal RNA, 484 nt
Filed under: uncultured bacterium
Lineage: Bacteria
Description: partial 16S ribosomal RNA
Rfam family: Bacterial small subunit ribosomal RNA
Source: RNAcentral